Molecule: long non-coding RNA, 1331 nt
Filed under: Monodelphis domestica (gray short-tailed opossum)
Lineage: Eukaryota; Metazoa; Chordata; Mammalia; Didelphimorphia; Didelphidae
Description: lncRNA (ENSMODG00000045495.1)
Source: RNAcentral
UUUAAUUAAUGUUAAAGGAUUGUUUUAAAUAUAAAGAAUAUAAAGAAAAGAAUGUUAGUCAAUGUGCCUUGUACCACUUACCAUAAACAUUACUUAGGCUAUAGCAAAAUUGUAUAUACCUUUAGAAUUCCUUCCCUUCCAUUAGGUAUAAUGCUGAUUUUUCCCCCUCAAAUUUAAUGAAUAUAUAGGAGUAAAUUUGAAGAUAUGAGAUACAUUGUGUGAGGAAAUAUUAUUCUUGUGUAUAUUGGGGUUGAACACUAAGAUAAAAGGAAUUUUUAAGGAGGAUAUCAAUUAAUGUCAAAAGACUGAUCAAGAAAACUAAUUUUUCUUAAUAAAAUUAAUACACCACUGCACUUUGAAAUUAUUUAUAUUUUGUUGACCAUGCACUUUAAAUUUUUUUUUAUUUUUUUCAAAUAAAGAUAGAAAUUUUUCUUGUUCAAGAAGCUUGUUGAUAGCUUUUAAUCAUCUCUGUGAAAAAAUGAUGCAAAGAAGAGUCCAGAACCUCAAUUUAUUUUCUUGUCAAAUAGACAAAGGUGACAACGAACUGGGGCUUUGUACUUGUAUCUUCUUUGAUCCAGCAGAUGAGGAUGGAAAGGAACCAGGGGUUUUUAUAACUGAAAUUAUUGAAGGAGGUGCAGUUCACAAACUUGGAUGUAUCCGUGUAUUUGACCAGAUUAUUAAAAUAGGUGACAUCAAUCUAAUUGGAUUGGAUGAAGCAGAAAUCGUCUCUACUUUUAAAAAAAUGGACGAUUCUCCUUUCCAGAUUGAAAUUGGCCGCGAACCACCUGAAGUGAAGUCAGAACUUAUCGAACUCCUUGAGUUGUCAGAGCAAAGGAAGAAAUAUUUUAUGGAUUCGCUCAUAGUACAGGAAAAAAUUGGAGAUAUCACUAUUGUGAGAGGACAAGCAAGUAUUUGUAGAAGUCCAAGAGUACCAUGGUUCUGGAUGGCCAGUGACCUGAAAUUUGUUAUUGGGGUACUGAAAACAUUAAUAGAAGAAGAUCAGGGAUGUAGAAAAGACAUCCAAGCUAUCUUUGAGCAGGCUAACAUUUUUCAAGACAAUUAUAAAGACAUGAACACAUACAAAGUGAAUAUGGAACAGAAACCUGAUGAAUCAGAUAAAGAAGGCACAUUUUUACCAUUGGCCCCAGAAGAAGAAUUUUUACUAGGACAAUUUAAAAUAAAGCCUAAAGAGAUAAAAAAUGAAGAUUUAUCACCAGAGCAAUUAUUAGCCCAAGGGGAUUUCAAUUCAGAGACCCCAAUAAAAAAAGAAAAAGAAGAAGAAGAAAUAGUAGUGGAGGAAGAGAUUAUUAACACUGGAAAACCUACAGAGG